GGGGAGGGGCGGUUCACCAUGGAAACCCAAGGACGGCCAAUGUCACUCCAAUAGUCCCCGGAAAGAGCGUGUGAAAGCCGUUAGCGUUUGGCUGGAGAGCCGAGAUCUGAUGCUGCCAGAUCUACUGAGCUUUUCCAGCAACUUCUGUUUUUGUUCCUGAUUUCUAUUAAAUCAGUUUUGGAGACCUA
Long non-coding RNA from Rhincodon typus (whale shark), 188 nucleotides. RefSeq lists it as uncharacterized. NCBI's taxonomy places the organism in Eukaryota, Metazoa, Chordata, Chondrichthyes, Orectolobiformes, Rhincodontidae. The record is from RefSeq and is a predicted model, not a curated record. The transcript is spliced from 2 exons.